Non-coding RNA from Pelobates cultripes (western spadefoot toad), 167 nucleotides. The record is from the annotation of a GenBank genome assembly. Lineage: Eukaryota; Metazoa; Chordata; Amphibia; Anura; Pelobatidae.
ACAGGUAUGCAAAGGGAGAUAAGGAAGAUUACAGCUCCCUCUCCACUGGUUCCAUUGCACACAGCCUUCCUUCUCUGGAGGUGGGGCUAAGGGGGCUAACCUCAAGGGCUUGAUAAUAGCUCUUACUGGGGCUGUAACCUCCCUUAUCUCCUCUUAUUGGUGCAAAA